GCGACCCCAGGAUGGGUGGGAUGACCCGC
Molecule: ribosomal RNA, 29 nt
Filed under: Habenaria intermedia
Lineage: Eukaryota; Viridiplantae; Streptophyta; Magnoliopsida; Asparagales; Orchidaceae
Description: partial 26S ribosomal RNA
Source: RNAcentral